CUACCACACAACUUGUGCAGAUCCGUCCAUGGAGCUUCGGGAAGGUGAUGGCAGAUUCUUCAACCGUUUGGCACUCAUCUAUUCACCCAAAUCCUAGAGCCUAUCCCGACGCCAUAGGAGGGUCCACUAGUUCGAGGCCAGCUCGGAUUGUUGAUCCAUGAGUUUAGUGGUGAGGUCGAGAUGAAGCACGUUAGUGGGUUUGCUGAUUUAGUGUAGACGGCGGCUUUUCGGAGCUCGAUAGUAGGCGCACCUGACCUGGAGAGAGUUUCUGGAUCCCAAGUGACUCGAUUGGAUGAGCUCAUCGUUCGCUGCGUUUGCUCUGAUGCUCUACUUCACUUGCUGCGUGAAUCUGACACUGAUCGGUGCCACAUGAUGGCGAGCCACACAGAUGGGUAAAUGAAGCGCACCCUCGCAGAACAUGCUGUGUCCGAUAGGAGGAUAUUGACAUCAGUUAAGCUUUUCUCUGUUCCGAAAACUGUGCUGCAGCUCUGCGCAAGACAAUUCGCUACAUGCAAAGUGAACUGUUGCAUUUGUUUUCAGCAACCUGUGCUAUACGCUGAGAAAGCAGCUUGAUAGACCUGGAGGUUAAAUGAUCGUUCUCGUUGUCAUUUUAUGUAUCUAUUUUCUGCAGUACUACGAAAGUGAUGGGCUGGUGAAUAGCAGUAGACAUGGCAAUCUUUCCAAGGUAUUCACCUUAAUUUGUCGUCCAGAGCUUGCAAUUUCGUGCAGAAAAGUUUCGACGCUACAGCAUUAUGAUGCAGAGUAGCUAAGAGAAUUCAGGGUGGUCAUACUCCUUCACUUUCCGUCUCCACAGUGCCGCUGCCGUUGUCUUAUUCCGUGACAAUGCUCUUUGCCUCCGAGAGCUCAAAUCACGCCUUUUCUUCUGAAUGCUAUGAGGUCGAAACUUCAUUUGGGAUUUCGGCGAAAUGAAGCCUGACCUCUUAUUUGAGUAAAUUAAAGGCCAUCGCAAAAAUAUGUAGCAGAGUUAGAAUUAUAGAAAUUUGCAAUUUGUAUAAAAGUCAAUCUGCUUUCAAAUUGAA
Non-coding RNA from Physcomitrium patens, 1040 nucleotides. Lineage: Eukaryota; Viridiplantae; Streptophyta; Bryopsida; Funariales; Funariaceae. The record is from RefSeq and is a predicted model, not a curated record.